Molecule: ribosomal RNA, 1091 nt
Filed under: uncultured bacterium
Lineage: Bacteria
Description: bacterial SSU rRNA
Rfam family: Bacterial small subunit ribosomal RNA
Source: RNAcentral
AGAGUUUGAUCCUGGCUCAGGAUGAACGCUGGCGGCGUGCCUAAUGCAUGCAAGUCGAACGGGGGAGUGGCCUUCGGGCCAGUCCCUAGUGGCGAACGGCUGAGUAAAGCAAAGGUAACCUACCCUUAAGUGGGGGACAACCCUGAGAAAUCGGGGCUAAUACCGCAUACGAUCCUCCCAUUUCUUGGGGGGAUGAAAGCUUUCGGGUGCUGAAGGAGGGGCCUUUGUCCUAUCAGGUAGUUGGUGGGGUAAAAGCCUACCAAGCCGAAGACGGGUAGCUGGUCUGAGAGGAUGGUCAGCCAGACGGGGAAUGAGAGACGGCCCUGACUCCUACGGGAGGCAGCAGCAAGGAAUAUUGCGCAAUGGGCGAAAGCCUGACGCAGCGACGCCGCGUGGGGGAAGAAUGCCUUCGGGUUGUAAACCCCUUUUCUUGGUGAAGAGGAAGGACGGUAGCCAAGGAAUAAGCCUCGGCUAACUACGUGCCAGCAGCCGCGGUAAUACGUAGGAGGCGAGCGUUAUCCGGAAUCACUGGGCGUAAAGGGCGUGUAGGCGGUCCCUUAAGUUGGCGGUGAAAUCUCCCGGCUCAACCGGGAGGGGUCUGCCAAAACUGAGGGACUUGAGGGCGGCAGAGGAAGGUGGAAUUCCCGGUGUAGCGGUGAAAUGCGUAGAUAUCGGGAGGAACACCAGUGGCGAAGGCGGCCUUCUGGGCUGCCCCUGACGCUGAGGCGCGAAAGCGUGGGGAGCGAAGUGGAUUAGAUACCCGCGUAGUCCACGCCGUAAACGGUGGACACCAGGUAUAGAGGGUAUCGACCCCCUCUGUGCCGAAGCUAACGCUUUAAGUGUCCCGCCUGGGGACUACGGCUGCAAGGCUAAACUCAAAGGAAUUGACGGGGGCCCGCACAGCAGCGGAGCGUGUGGUUUAAUCGAUGCACACGAAGAACUUACCAAGCUGACAUGCCGUAGUAGGGACCGAAAGGCGACGACCCGAUUUAUCGGGAGCAGCCCAGGUGCUACAUGGCUGUCGUCAGCUCAUGCCUGGAGUGUGUGGGUUAGUCCAUAACGAGGCACCUCCCUGUGUUGGAAUCUACGGG